AGUGAACGCUGGCGGCAGGCCUAAUACAUGCAAGUCGAACGGCAGCACAGUGGAGCUUGCUCCAUGGGUGGCGAGUGGCGGACGGGUGAGGAAUACAUGGGAAUCUGCCCAGUCGUGGGGGAUAACGUAUGGAAACGUACGCUAAUACCGCAUGCGCCCUUUGGGGGAAAGUCGGGACCGCAAGGCCUGACGCGAUUGGAUGAGCCCAUGUUCGAUUAGCUAGUUGGCGGGGUAACGGCCCACCAAGGCGACGAUCGAUAGCUGGUCUGAGAGGAUGAUCAGCCACACUGGAACUGAGACACGGUCCAGACUCCUACGGGAGGCAGCAGUAGGGAAUAUUGGACAAUGGGCGCAAGCCUGAUCCAGCCAUGCCGCGUGAGUGAAGAAGGCCCUCGGGUUGUAAAGCUCUUUGGUUGGGGAAGAAAAGCAGUUGGUUAAUACCCGAUUGUUCUGACGGUACCCAAAGAAUAAGCACCGGCUAACUUCGUGCCAG
Molecule: ribosomal RNA, 493 nt
Filed under: uncultured bacterium
Lineage: Bacteria
Description: bacterial SSU rRNA
Rfam family: Bacterial small subunit ribosomal RNA
Source: RNAcentral